AAUGAACGUUGGCGGCAUGGAUUAGGCAUGCAAGUCGAGCGAGAAGGGUUUUGAAGCUUGCUUUAGAACCUGGAAAGCGGCGGAAGGGAGAGUAACGAGUAGUUAUCUACCCCAAGGCCCGGAAUAGCUGCGGGAAACUGCAGGUAAUGCCGGAUAAUAUCCCCGGAUCAAAGGUGUGAUUCCGCCUUGGGAGGAGACUGCUUUGUACUAGCUUGUUGGUGGGGUAAUGGCCUACCAAGGCUACGAUGCAUAGCGGGCGUGAGAGCGUGGCCCGUCUCACUGGGACUGAAACACUGCCCAGACACCUACGGGUGGCUGCAGUCGAGAAUCUUCGGCAAUGGGCGAAAGCCUGACCGAGCGAUGCCGCGUGCGGGAUGAAGGCCCUCGGGUUGUAAACCGCUGUCGUAGAGGAGAAAGGUCUCGUGAAGAGCGAGAUUUGAUCUAUUCUAGGAGGAAGUCGGGGCUAAGUUCGUGCCAGCAGCCGCGGUAACACGAACCCGACGAACGUUAUUCGGAAUUAUUGGGCUUAAAGGGUGCGUAGGCGGUGCGGUAAGUGCGGUGUGAAAGCCCUCGGCUCAACCGAGGAAAUUGCGCUGCAUACUGCCGUGCUGGAGGGAGACAGGGGUAAGCGGAACUGAUGGUGGAGCGGUGAAAUGCGUUGAUAUCAUCAGGAACACCGGUGGCGAAAGCGGCUUACUGGGUCUUCUCUGACGCUGAGGCGCGAAAGCUAGGGUAGCGAACGGGAUUAGAUACCCCGGUAGUCCUAGCCGUAAACGAUGAGCACUUGAUUGAGGGCCCCCCCAUAGGCUCUCGAUCGCAGCGAAAGUGUUAAGUGCUCCGCCUGGGGAGUAUGGUCGCAAGGCUGAAACUCAAAGGAAUUGACGGGGGCUCACACAAGCGGUGGAGGAUGUGGCUUAAUUCGAGGCUACGCGAAGAACCUUAUCCAGGCCUUGACAUGUACGGAUGCUGCCCGUGAAAGCGGGUUAGUUGCCUUCGGGUGAAACGUGCACAGGUGCUGCAUGGCUGUCGUCAGCUCGUGUCGUGAGAUGUCGGGUUAAGUCCCUUAACGAGCGAAACCCUUGUCCUUAGUUGCCAGCGAGUCAUGUCGGGGACUCUAAGGAGACUGCCGGCGUUAAGCCGGAGGAAGGUGGGGAUGACGUCAAGUCCUCAUGGCCUUUAUGGUCUGGGCUGCACACGUCCUACAAUGGCAUAUACAAAGGGAUGCUACCUCGCGAGAGCAAGCAAAUCCCAAAAAGUAUGCCCCAGUUCGGAUUGCAGGCUGCAACUCGCCUGCAUGAAGCCGGAAUCGCUAGUAAUCGUGGGUCAGCAUACCACGGUGAAUAUGUUCCUGAGCCUUGUACACACCGC
RNAcentral lists this ribosomal RNA (1368 nucleotides) under uncultured bacterium. RNAcentral's name for it is "bacterial SSU rRNA". It matches the Rfam family "Bacterial small subunit ribosomal RNA", at positions 28 to 1393 of the family's 1533-position model. The record is from RNAcentral.